AUGGGGAAUUUUGGACAAUGGGCGCAAGCCUGAUCCAGCAAUGCCGCGUGCAGGAAGAAGGCCUUCGGGUUGUAAACUGCUUUUGUACGGAACGAAACGGUCCGGGUUAAUACCCUGGGCUAAUGACGGUACCGUAAGAAUAAGCACCGGCUAACUACGUGCCAGCAGUCGCGGUAAUACGUAGGGUGCAAGCGUUAAUCGGAAUUACUGGGAGUAAAGCGUGCGCAGGCGGUUUUGUAAGACAGGCGUGAAAUCCCCGGGCUCAACCUGGGAAUUGCCAUUGUGACUGCAUAGCUGGAGUGCGGCAGACGGGGAUGGAAUUCCGCGUGUAGCAUUGAAAUGCGUAGAUAUGCGGAGGAACACCGAUGGCAAAGGCAAUCCCCUGGGCCUGCACUGACGCUCAUGCACGAAAGCGCGGGGAGCAAACAGGAUUAGAAACCCUAGUAGUCC
This 450-nucleotide ribosomal RNA is filed under the name uncultured bacterium. Its description in RNAcentral is "bacterial SSU rRNA". It matches the Rfam family "Bacterial small subunit ribosomal RNA", at positions 354 to 796 of the family's 1533-position model. The record is from RNAcentral.